UUUUAAUUAGCAGUUGACGAAUUCAAUUCAUCCUGUGUGAACGUUUUACUUUUUGCUGUAAAAACUGCAUACUGCAUAGCUGUAUUAGAUCAUGUUCUUGAAAUGAUCGGUGAAGUUUUAUGUUCUAUUUUUCACAUAAUACAGUAUUAGAUACACAGUGUAAUGAUCACUUUCUAAAUUCGUGUGUCGCUACUUGUUUCUUUUAUACAGUUUGAAUAUGUUUACACAGUGGUAUAAUAUUCUGUUAACAAUAUUUAUUAAUCUUAUUGUGUUGACAAAUAGCGCAUUUAUACCAGAUAUUGAUCAGCAAGGGCUGUAUAGUAAAUCGGACCACGUAACCAUACUUACCAUUGCCAAUUUUGACAAAAAUAUUUAUGGCCAAGAUCAUGCAUAUUUAGUGCAAUUUUAUAACAGUUAUUGUGGACAUUGUCGAGCAUUUGCGCCGAAAUUUAAAGCACUUGCUUCUGAAAUUGCACCUUGGAAAAAUGUAGUAAAACUUGGAGUAAUUGAUUGCUCAGUAGAAGAAAAUAAUGAAAUAUGCCGUCAAUUUGAAGUAAUGGCUUACCCUUCUCUUAGGUUCUUACAUGAGAAUUAUUUAAAAGGCAAUGCUUUUAUAGGGGACAAAUUUCCAUCAGCAGACACAGCAGAAAAGCUAAAGAUAAACUUAAUAACAGUGCUGCAAAAUGAACAAUCUCAAGGAAGGCUUCAUAGUGCUCCAUCAUUAAAUAUAAGUUCAUAUGUAUCUUAUCUUGAUGCAAUCAAUAGUGGUCCUAAAGAUACACAAUAUACAUUUUUUGUAUUUGAAGAUGAAAAUUCCACAGUAGGGUCUCAGUUAAUCCUAGACUUAAAUGAUUAUGAACAUGUGAGAGUUGUGAGAGUGUUGGAUAAUAGUGAUUUAGCAGGUGUGGCUAAGAUUACAAGCAUCCCAGCUCUUGUAGCAGUUAAUUCUGAAAUAAUGCCUUCAAACCUCACACCACAUCAACCUACAAAACAGAAUAUGUUGAAAGCAAUAAAUACAUACCUCAAAUCAAAUAAUUUUAAUUUCCCUAUAAGAGACAGUGAUAAUGAAGGUGAAAGUAAUAGUUUUGUGACAUAUACAAAAUUAACACCUGAUAUGGACAUAGUCUAUUAUACAGAUUUAGAAAAAACUUUGAAAACAAGUUUAUAUACCGAAAUCACAAGAUAUAAGGUAGUCAAUGGAGACAUAUUGCAGGCUUUACUGUCCUAUUUAGAUGUGUUAAUUGUUUCAUUUCCAGCAAAAUAUAAUUUAAAAGAAUACCUCACUGAUUUGCACUCUACUUUGUCUUCUAAGAAUGAAUGGAGUGGAAAUGACAUUCAUAAAAUGGUCAAAGGCUUAGCCUCGCUGCAUAGCCCCAUUUUCUCAGAUGAACUAGACUAUAUUGGAUGUAGAGGUAGUCAACCACAGUAUCGUGGAUAUACAUGUGGGCUUUGGACUUUGUUUCAUACUUUAACUGUGAAUGCUGCAAACAAAUCAGGAGUGCAAGGACCAAAAGUUUUACAGGCUAUGCAUGGAUAUGUUAAGUACUUCUUUGGCUGUACUGAAUGUUCACAGCACUUCCAGGCAAUGGCAAUGAGAAACAGGUUAUUUGAUGUAAAAGAAAAUGACAAGGCUGUUUUAUGGUUAUGGAUUUCACAUAAUGAAGUUAAUUUGAGAUUAGCUGGUGAUGUUACAGAAGAUCCAAAAUAUCCUAAAAUUCAGUUUCCCAGUGUAGAGAGGUGUCCUCAGUGCAGACUUGCUCGUGGUGCUUGGAAUUUGGCUGCUGUAUAUGAGUAUCUAAGAAAAAUAUAUGAUGCCGAGAAUAUACAAGAUAUAAAGAGAGCUAAGUCAGCUGGUGUAGCUCAAAGCCCCUUCUCCAACUUGGAUAUUGGAAUGUUAAGCCUUAUGUACAUAUUAUCUUUUAUUAUUCUAAUUUUGCUAAUUAAAUAUGUGUUCUCUAAGAGAUUUUUCAGAAAGCGCCAUUAUAAACAUGCAUUGGGUAAAGUUUAAAUUUUAAAAUACAUGAGAAUAGAAAAAUUCCCUAUAUAAAUGAUUUUUUAGAAGAUUUUAUGCAUGGUUAUAUAAAUAUGACAAUUAAUAAUAUUACUCUAUUUUUAUAUCAUCUACAUUUUAAAUGUUAUGUAGGUGUAAAAAUAUUUAACAAGUACUUGCUGCUCAUAAAAAUAAUUGCUAGUAAAUAAAGUAAAAUAUAAAUAUCAUACUAAAUUUGGUAUUAUAGUCUUUAUAAUGUUAUUUGCUGAGUUUUAAAAAUAUGUAAUGGAUAAGAUUUACUUUAAUAACAUUUUAUAAUAUUUUUAGUACUUCGUCAUUUAUAGUGUCAAAAUAAAUGAAGUGGUGAUAGGAAUUACUCAAACUAUUUUUAAUGAAAUUUAAAUAAAUUACUUCUAAAAAUGAUAAAAUUAUAAUUAAAAAAAUCUUUUGGAUUAAUACUUUAUGCUUAUAAUAUAUAAUGUUGAUAUUAUGCAGAACAAUAACCUGUUUUUUUAAUUAUUUUAAAUAAACACCAAAUAAUGUACGUCUUUAAAAAGUUAGAUAUCUAGUAUUAUAUUUGAUUAUGAUAAACGGAAAGUAAAACGUGAAGCACCUAUUUAUGUGUAUCAUGGUCAUAAUGAUACAAAUAUAGUAUGUCAACAAUUCUUAAAUCCAUAAACUAUCUUGCAGGCAUUCAUUUCCAAAGGGAUUCUGUUUUUAAGACCAUGAUUAGCUUGAAAGAAUGCAAACCUAUCGUAAUUUGCAGACCAUUUAGCUUUGGUCUCGAAAGUAAAUUUGUUAACCAUUAUUAAAGAUAGUACUAUUAUACAUAAAAUUUUAUCAUAAGGUGGCCUAGUUUCCAUCAAUUAAACAAUUCCACCAUUCAAUAAUAUAUCAUUGUAUUUGUAGAAAUAAUUUACUUAAUUAUAAAUGAAUAUAUUUUCUACCACUUUAAAUAUAAAUGUAAUAUUCAGGAGUACAUAAUUACAAAUUAUUCGGUGACCCAGUUUCUAUUAAUUUAAUAAUUGCACCAGUCAAUAAUGUACAACUAUAUUCAUAGAUGUAAUUUCCAUAAUUUUGAAUGACUCGAUUUUAUGACAUUACUAAUUUAAAUGUAAUGUUUAGAAGUAUUUAGAAAUUUCUGUAAUAAUAUACCUUCAAUCUAAAUUGUUUUAGGUUUAAAGGUGACCUAGUUGCCAUGAAUUUAAUAAUUGCACCAGUCAAUAAUCUACAAUUAUGUUUAGUAAUUUCUACAAUUUUUAAUUACUAUAUUUUAUAACAUUACAAUUUUAAAUGUAAUGAUAAAAGUAAUUAAAAAUUUUGAUAAUAAUAUACCUACAUACCAUUUUAUUUUUAGGUGAACUAGUUUCCAAUUCAAUAAUUGCAUCAGUCAAUAAGUAUAAAUAUAGAUGUAAUUUACUUAAUGUUUAAUGACUUCAUUUUAUAACAUUACAUAAUAAAUGUAAUGUAUAGAAAUUUUGGUAAUAACAUGCCUGCAUUCCAAUUUAUUUUAAGUUUAAAGGUGACCCAGUUUCCAUAAAUUUAAUUAUUGCACCAGUCAAUAAUGUAUACUUAUAUUUAUCAAUGGUAAUUUACAUCAUUUUUAAUGACUCCAUCUUAUAACAUUACAAAUAUAAAUGUAAUGUAUAGAAUUAAUUAGAAAUUUUUGGUAAUAAUAUCCCAACAUUCCAAUUUAUUAUUAGGUUUGAAGGUGACCUAGUUUCCAUAAAUUUAAUUAUUGCAACAGUCAAUUAUGUAUAAUAUUUAUAUAUGUAAUUUACAUCAUUUUUGAUUACUCCAUUUUAUAACAUCACAAAAACAAAUGUAAUGUAUAGAAGCAAUUUGAAAUAAUAUAUAAUAUUAUAUUUUAUUAUUGGGUCGAAAGGUGGUCUUGUUUCCAUUAAUUUUAGAAUUGUUCCAGUCAGUAUUUAAUUAUGGAAAUAAAUUGAAUACUUUAUUUAAUUUUUAUUGAAUCCAUUUUACAAAACUGAAUAUAAAUGUACUGUGUAGGAAUUUUAUUUUUAUGUUAGUUUCAUAUCUGUGAUCAGUCCCUUGGGCUAUGCACUCAAGGUAUUACACCUUCCUAACCUUUAAAGGAAUUGAAAGAUAAUAUUUGAGGAAAAUUAGUGAUAUUUCAUCACAAUAAGUUUUUACCACUAAUUAAUUAGUCAAUAAGCCAGAGGUAAUAGUCAUAAAAAUAACCCAAUCGAAUUUAAAUUACUUAGUGAUGUUUUAGGUUGUUUUUAAUUAUUAAUAUAUCAAUUUAUUUAAUUUAAGCUGUUUGCUACAUCACGUCUGGAGAGAGAAUUUCCAAAUUUAGAAUAAGGUAUAUGGCCGGUUGACUAUGGCUCUUACGAAGUGAUGUAUGAACAACGAUUAUUGGGGACACAAUUUUUCUCAAGUCAAUAAUCUCUUAUCUUUAAGCUUUCCCAGUGUCAAAUUUUGUCUCUAAGAGUAAUAAAAUAUAUAAAUAAUCUUAUAAUUUCUUCAACGAAUUUCGUCUUCGGUUGAAUAGUUACAACAUAAGUAGUUCAAUAUUACCACUGUAAGAUGUAAAUAAAUAAAUUGCUGUGG
Molecule: RNA transcript, 4564 nt
Organism: Leptidea sinapis
Lineage: Eukaryota; Metazoa; Arthropoda; Insecta; Lepidoptera; Pieridae
Gene name: sulfhydryl oxidase 1-like
Exons: 2
Source: RefSeq, a predicted model, not a curated record